GGAUGGGAACUUCUUGCCUGAUACUGGUAUGAGUGUCAGCACAUUUUGGAGGAUGUCUUAUGCGGCAUCUGAUGCAGUUUGCAAACGCGAGAGGAUGGGGACCCCACAGAGCAGAUUUUGAAUCAUCUUCCAUCAAUAUACUAUAAUUUCCACUAGCUGGAAUGGAAAUUUGCCAUGAACAAUGGAAAAUGGGAGCAACUUUCAGGACCCACAAGGCCAAGGUGAGCACUUGCCUGCGUUGGUGUGAGGCUGUCACCCAGCCGUGGCCCUGCUGCCUGCUCUGACUCUGCUGAGCCCUGCAGCCCUGCAUGGCAGCUGCUGGCAUUGAGGAAGGAAGAUGUGAAGACCAGCAGAGAAGCAGUUACUUUCAGAUGAUCUGGAUAUAUUUUCCCAGAAGCACUUCCUGCCCUCUUCCACAUAGCAGCAGCAGCAGAGCAGUUGUGCUAAGGAGUUUUCUCUUCCUCUUUCCUCAUUCCCAUACCCAGCCUUACCUUUAUCCUCAUUCUGCUGCUUCUCCAAUACCUUCAU
Molecule: long non-coding RNA, 528 nt
Organism: Melospiza melodia melodia
Lineage: Eukaryota; Metazoa; Chordata; Aves; Passeriformes; Passerellidae
Exons: 3
Source: RefSeq, a predicted model, not a curated record